CAAACCAAACAUCUUCUAAGGGUAUGGAGGUGCCAAAGGGUUAUCUUGCAGUGUACGCUGGAGAGAAAAUGAAGCCAUUUGUGAUCCCCAUAUCAUACUUGAGCAAACCUUCCACUACAAGAAUAAUAAGAUUUAGCUGCAAUAGAAAGCAUAGGUCACACUAUUUGCGUAGGUUAAGCCUACACGAAAUGAAGAAGAAAAAAAAUAAACUAAAUAGUGUCCGUCAAACACACGAAAAAUCCACACACUUCAAGAAAAAAAGUAAUUAGUUUCCACAUAUUUGUGGGGGCGAAAUGUGGACGUAUUUUUCGUCGACCAAACCCACGCAAAACUGAUGCAAACUUAAAAAAAAAAAUUAUAAUAAUAAAAUUUUAAAAUUUUGAAGGUUUAGCCCACGCUAUGUUUUUGAAGCUAAGUCCCCGCUAUGCCUUUGAUGCUAAGUCCCCGCUACUUAUACGUUUUGAAUGUUCAGCCCACACUAUGAUUUUAAAAUUCAAAAUAAUAAAAUUAUAAUUAAUUUAUUUCAAAACUUCUAGUUGUUAAAAGGUGUUGAACUCGAAUAUGAGCCAGAGAGCCCACAAAACUGCUGAGCAAACAUUUCUUCCUCCACUCCUUCUUCUUCUUCCUCCUCCACUCCACAAAACUCCGUGACAGUGACCGUGCUUCGACCGUGAAUGUGCGACCGUGAACAUUCAUCCUCCAUUCCUUCUUCUUCUUUGACCAUGGUCGUGCUUAGACCGUGAACGUGCGACCGUGAACGGUGAGUUUCAAAUUGCUUCCUCCAUUCCUUCUUCUUCUUAUACGACCGCUAAUGAGUAACCCUAGGUUCUUGAUGUAGGUUUCCCAUAUACUUGCUUUUUCUUAAAAUUAUGAUGCUGAUUUGUGUAACCCUAGGAUGAUUUUUCUUCUUACAUGUUGAUUUAAGAGGAUGCUAAGUUCUCGAAUGAUUUUGAUACUAUGUUCCUUGUAGGUCAUUGAUAGAGGACUGUGAAUAUCUUAGCUUUGUGAGGUUGGAUUUUAGCAGGAUGGUCUUUUAAGUGGAUUUUAGCAAGAUGGUCCUUAGUUUUCUAGUAGUGGAAGCAUAGUUGACUCUCUAAUGUCAUUAUAUUAUUGACCACCCGAAUACGAAUAGUUCUUUACGUGACAUGUUAUGAAUAAUUUGUGUAAAAAGGGUAUAAGUGAAUACACAUUGGAUUACUGAGGGAGUUAGAAGUAACAGUGGUCCAUGAGACAAUAUAUAUGAACCAUAGCAUUGAAAACUGACAUCUGAACUUCCAUAAACGAAGCUGGCAGUCCUAUCCAUGCAUAAUCAAUGUCAACAUCAUGGCACUACAUUUUCAUUUUGCCUAUACAUGUGAGAGUCCUCUUAGACAUUACCACAUGCCCUUGUCUCUCAGUUUCUCCCAUGACUAUUAUCUCAUAAUCUUUCACCAAUAAUUCAACUACCCUUCUUACAUAAGCUUUAUCUAUAUAUAUUCACCGUUGCUAGCAUUUUCGAAUCAACACAAAUCAUUCACAUCCUGAAGCAACAAAAUUCAUAAGCCUCAGCUCUCAAGCUCUUUUCAUACCAUUUUAUCCUCAAGUCUGAGCAAAUAUACAACACAACAAUGGGCUUUCGUUUACCUAGUAUCAGAAGGACAUCAUUCGCAACAAACCAACAUCUUCUAAGGGUAUGGAGGUGCCAAAGGGUUAUCUUGCAGUGUACGUUGGAGAGAAAAUGAAGCGAUUUGUGAUCCCCAUAUCAUACUUGAGCCAACCUUCAUUCCAAGAGAUGUUGAGUGAAACAGAGGAAGAGUUUGGAUAUGAUCAUUCCAUGGGUGGUCUUACGAUUCCUUGCAGUGAAGAUGUCUUCCGAAGCACAACUUCACACUUGAAUAGGCAUUAAGUUUUGUACUAUAGAAGUCUGACACAGAAUUGAAGAGCCAUUUUGUCAUAGGCAUCUUCUCAAUUUGUUAACAUAACUCCUUUUGAGUAAUAGGAAAAAUGCGAUUAUAGUAACAUUUUGUCCUCUUUUUAUUUGUUUAAUGAUGUUGAGUAUCCCUUCUUAUUUUAAUGAGGAUCAUGACCAAUGAAUCUUGCUAACUAAUCCAUUGAAUAUAUUAAAUGAUGGUCAUUUCAAAAGAAAUGUUCAUGCAAUGUUUCUAAAGUCUUAGUGGACCUAAAAUGUCCCAUAAGCCCACCCUCAUCAGCCUCUUUAACAAGAGAUUGUCUUAUAGAUCCUUGGGGCACACAAAGUCUUUUUCCUUGAAAAANNNNNNNNNNNNNNNNNNNNNNNNNNNNNNNNNNNNNNNNNNNNNNNNNNNNNNNNNNNNNNNNNNNNNNNNNNNNNNNNNNNNNNNNNNNNNNNNNNNNNNNNNNNNNNNNNNNNNNNNNNNNNNNNNNNNNNNNNNNNNNNNNNNNNNNNNNNNNNNNNNNNNNNNNNNNNNNNNNNNNNNNNNNNNNNNNNNNNNNNNNNNNNNNNNNNNNNNNNNNNNNNNNNNNNNNNNNNNNNNNNNNNNNNNNNNNNNNNNNNNNNNNNNNNNNNNNNNNNNNNNNNNNNNNNNNNNNNNNNNNNNNNNNNNNNNNNUUGAAAAAAAGAUAAUGUUGCCAAUUUUGCAAAGCUCGAACAAGAGCAUAAAGUUCUUUAUCAUAAGUGGAGUAAUUGAUAUGAUUCCCUUUGAGUUUCUCACUAAAAUAAGCUAUGGGGUGGCCCUCUUGAAGGAGGACAACCCUAAUGCCUAUAUUGGAGGCAUCACAUUCUAUUUCAAAUGUUUUAGUAAAGUUAGGAAAGGCCAAGAUGGGGACUUUUGUCAAUCUUUCCUUCAAAGUUAUAAAAAGCUUUUUCUUCCUCUUGUCCCCACUUAAAAACCACAUCCUUUUUUACUAUAGCAUUCAAUGGUGCGGAAAUUGUACUAAAGUCAUUCACAAACCUUCUAUAAAAACUAGCAAGGCCAUGAAAGCUUCGUACCCAUUCACAUUGGUGGGUGUAGGCCAAUGUUGAAUUGCUGCAACUUUCGUUUGAUCUACAUGCACCCCUUUAUAAUUUACGAAAAACCCUAUAUGAUAUAAUGCAAAGAAACAUUUAGCAUGAUUAGCAUAUAACUUCUCCUUCCUAAGAGUUUUUAAGACUUGCCUAACAUGUGACUCAUGAUCUUCUAAAGAAAAGCUAUAUAUAAGGAUAUCAUCAAAAUAAACUACAACAAAUUUGAAUGUUCUUAAAACAUGAUGCAUGAGUCACAUGAAGNNNNNNNNNNNNNNNNNNNNNNNNNNNNNNNNNNNNNNNNNNNNNNNNNNNNNNNNNNNNNNNNNNNNNNNNNNNNNNNNNNNNNNNNNNNNNNNNNNNNCAUGACUAACCACUCAUAUAAGCCAAAUUUGGUCUUAAAAGCGGUUUUCCAUUCAUCACCUUGUUUAAUACGAAUUUGAUUGUAACCACUCUUAAGAUCAAUUUUGGAAAAUAUUUUAGACCCAAACAAUUCAUCCAACAAGUCGUUUAACCUAAGGAUGGGAUGCUUAUACUUGAUGGUAAUUUUAUUUAUAGCGCGACAAUCCGUACACAUCCUCCAUGUCCCAUCUUUUUUAGGGACAAGUAUGAUAGUCAUAGCACAUGGGCUCAUGCUAUCUUGUACCCACCUCUUAGCAAUUAAACCCUCAACUUGUUCUUGAAUGUCUUUAGCCUCUUUGGGAUUGGUCCUAUAUGCUGGACGAUUUGGUAAAGAAACCCCGCGCGUGAAGUCGAUUUGAUGUUCAAUCCCUCUUAGAGGUGGUAAGCCUUUAGGAGGAUCUUGAAACACGUCUUCAUAUUCCUUUACCAAGUUAUUCAAACACGUGGGACUAUUCUUAGCCAACUGACAAUCAAUAAUCCUAGGAAUAGCUAAAAAAAUAGGCUUUUGAGCAACUAUUACCUUUUUUAUUUGUUGUGUGGACAUGAGAAGGCUUCUCUUGAAACUUUUUUUUUUAUCAUUUUCUCUCUCUUUUCUCUCAUUUUAACUUGGUCCUCAUGGACUUCCUUUGGAGUGAGAGAUUUAAGUAUGACCUUGUGUCCAUGGAAGUUAAAAGAAAUUUUGCUGGUAAAGCCAUCAUGAAAAACUUUUCUAUCAAAUUGCCAUGGCCUACCUAAAAGAAUAUGUGUGGCUUCAAUUGGUACAACAUCACACAAGACCUCAUCUUUAUAUUUACCAAUAGAAAAUGCAAUAAGGACUUGCUUGAUAACAAUAAUUUCACCUACCUCAGUUAACCAUUGUAAUUUGUAGGGCUUGGCAUGAGAGAUGGUAGACAAUCCAAGCUUAUCUACCACUCUUGUGCUUGCCACAUUAGCACAACUUUCCCCAUCCACAAUUAAAGAGCAUAACCUAUCAUUAAUAAGACAUCUUGCAUGAAAAAUAUUUUCUCUUUGACUUUCAUCAAAGGGUUUCAAAACUUGUCCAAGCAUUUGUCUUAUCACUAAUAGGUCACCUUCAUGUGGACUUUCACUCUCAUGCUCACUUGGGGAUCUAGAAGGUGAGGAACGUCUAGAGUUUUCGGACUCAUGCUCACUAACCACAACCCCAUCAUGCAUAUACAUAUUUCGUUUAGAAGGGGAAUUAGAAGCAAUAUGUCCAUAGCCUAAGCAUUUAAAACAUUUCUUACUAGACGAUUUAGUUGGUGAUUUAGGCGUGGGAAUGGAAGUAGAAGAAUUAGAAUCUCUUGGUUUGAAAGUAGAAUCUUUAGAAGGAAACUUUGAAAAAGAUUUAUUUUUGUUUUUCCAAGAAGAGUGGUAAUAGCCAUCAUUAGAAGAAUUUUUGAAAGCAUUUUUCAUUGCAAUUUGAGAUUCAACUUUGCUAGCAAGGUGAACUAAAGUUUGUAAAGAAGAAUAUUCUUGAAGCUCUACCACAUCUUGAAUGUCCCUUCUAAGACCACUAACAAAUCUAGCCAUCUUAUAGCAUCUUCACUCUCAUUCAUAUUAACUUUAACUAAAAGCGUGUCGAGUUCUUUAAAAUAAUCAUCCACACUUAGCGUGCCUUGAUGAAACCUUUGGAGUUUCAACAAUAGGUCUUUCCUAAAGUGUGGAGGAACAAAUCUAUCUCACAAGCAAGCUUUUAAAUCGUUCCAAGAGACCACAGACGACCUCUUGUUUAGCCCAAUGUCCAUGAGAGUCUGAUGCCACCAUUGCAUGGCAUAGUCUAAGAAUUCUAAAGAUGUUAGUCUAACCCUUUGAUCAUCUAAGACCCCAUGUACAUGAAAAAUUUGCUCAACCUUAGAGGUUGAUGGAUAAGAUCUUCAUGGGAAUGAAACUGUUGUAUAAUUCACUAAAAGUCGGCUAAGCUAAAAGUGGUUUAACAACCUUCAAUCUUUAAUGAGAAUUACCUUCACUUAUAUACUCUAAAUUUACUCUAUCUUUAAUUUAAUUGAUGUGAGAUCUUCGAACUAUAUCUUUAGAAUAACAAAAACUGACUUCUUUACAAUUGUAUCACAUAAGAAUAUCUAUCUCAGUCUCCAUUGGCAUAAUUAGCAGCAAAUUUAAAUGACAGAUGACAUUUAAGAACCCAUCCUUUCGGCAUGGAACUGGAAGACCACCCGUCCGAUGAUCAUAUAUGAAUUCUUCUUCUUCUUCUGCCUUAUAAAGUAAUUCUUGAAAUAAAGGUUGGUUCAUCUAAGAUAAUGGAAUAAAAAACCGUUUCAUCUUAUCUCCAACAUAAAUGCAAGAAAGCCUAUUGGAACUUCAAUCCACUAAAUGAUCUUUGUCUCGUAAUACUCGUUAUGCGGAAACCCGUAACAUUAUAUUCCUCCACGCAACAAAUAAUAUACUGUGAUAACUUGUUUGAGAUUCUUGAAUUCUACAAAGGAGUCUACCAAAACACAGGGAUCACAUGGUGUUGUCUUAGCGAUGGCUUCAAAAGGGUAGGAAUUUCAAUGAUGGACAUGCUUUUGAGAUUAUGGCUAACACAUUUAUCCACUUCAAGUUAAAGACAUCAAGAAGGGUCAAACCAAAUGCUUGUUCAUUGAUUAUCCUACUAUAUAGCUCUUUCAAUGAUGGACAUGCUUGGACAUCUCAUUAAUAAAUGACAGCUAUUGAUGUCAAUCACGUACCCACUUGUAUCAAUCACGUACCCACUUGUAUAAGAGAAGAGAAACCAAUGUCUAAACCGUGAGUUUUCUCAAAUUUAAAUGGAGGUAAGAAGAGAAGUGAAAUUCAAUACAAGUUCAUGCGACACUAUAUAUGAACCAUAGUCUUGAAAACUGACAUCUGAACUUCCAUAAACGAAGCUGGCAGUCCUAUCCAUGCAUAAUCAAUGUCAACAUCAUGCCACUACAUUUUCAUUUUGCCUAUACAUGUGAGACUCCUCUUGGACAUUACCACAUGCCCUUGUCUCUCAGUUGCUCCCAUCACUAUUAUCUCAUAAUCUUUCACCAAUAAUUCAAGUACCCUUCUUACAUAAGCUUUAUCUAUAUAUAUUCACGGUUACAAGCAUUUUGGAACCAACACAAAUCAUUCACAUCUUGAAGAAACAAAAUUCAUAAGCCUCAGCUCUCAAGCUCUUUUCAUACCAUUUUGUUAUCAAGUCUGAGCAAAUAUACAACACAACAAUGGGCUUUCGUUUACCUAGUAUCAGAAGGACAUCAUUCGCAGCAAACCAAACAUCUUCUAAGGGUAUGGAGGUGCCAAAGGGUUAUCUUGCAGUGUACGUUGGAGAGAAAAUGAAGCGAUUUGUGAUCCCCAUAUCAUACUUGAGCCAACCUUCAUUCCAAGACAUGUUGAGUGAAGCAGAGGAAGAGUUUGGAUAUGAUCAUCCCAUGGGUGGUCUUACGAUUCNNNNNNNNNNNNNNNNNNNNNNNNNNNNNNNNNNNNNNNNNNNNNNNNNNNNNNNNNNNNNNNNNNNNNNNNNNNNNNNNNNNNNNNNNNNNNNNNNNNNNNAGGCAUCUUCUCAAUUUGUAAACAUAACUCCUUUUUGAGUAAUAGGAAACACACUAAGAAUAACAUGUUUGCUUCUUUUUAUUUGUUUAAUGACAACGAGUUCAACUAAUCAAAAGGCCCCUCUAUGUUUUCUCUUUUUUAGAUUGCAAAUAUUAACUUCACCCAGUAUAAGCAGGGUUUCUCGCUGUAAAAUAAAAGCAAAACGUGGCUGUCCGAUGAAAUUCAAGGCAUUUAUAGAACACAUGUUUCUUAGCAUUGGAAGAACAACAAUAUAUUACUAGAACCAACGUGAAGGAUUAUCAAUAAUUUAUAUAUUUCCUCAUCCAAUUGAAAGAAGGAACAUAAAAUUACGUGCAAUACAUGAUGAUCUGUUUGCUUUAAGGAUUGCAAACUACUUUCAUUCUUUUUUAAGAACUUGAACUUGGUGACGGGUAGUGGCUUAGUGAAAACAUUUGUAAGGUGAUUUUUAUAAAAGAUAUACACACAAGGCUUCUAGAAGAAGGCUAAUAUCAUUUUUUUUUGUCUUUGCUCAAUUCUUUGUCAUUUCUCGUUGUACUGUUGAAUAAACUUUAAAUGUAAUUUGUGGGUUUUAAAAUUAGAAGUUACUAGAAAAUAGUAGAAUGAGAGUUUGGAUAUGUGAAAGGUCAAAAGUUGUGAGUGAGAUUUUAAUUAUGUUGUUAGUGGGAUUUUAAGGCCAUAAUGAAGAUUUUUCUAAAAGAGCUUCCUAAAGCCUAUAAAUAGGAUGCUCUCUCAGUUGUAAUAUGCACCAUAGAAAGAAAUACAAUAGAGAGAAAUACAAGAAGAAAAGUGUUUCUUUAGAGAAAAUCCAAGUGUGAGUGGUUGUCUGUUUUUCAAUUUGGUAUCAAGAGUCAAUGGCAAAUGUGACGGGUCAAAUACCGCUACCACGGUUAACGAAGACGACCAAAUAUGAUAACUAGAGCAUUCAAAUGAAACCUCUUCUCGGUUAUCAAGAUGAGUGGGAGGUGGUCGAAGAAGGUUUCGAAGAACCAAUAAAUUCCGCGGGUUAUACGACGGCUCAAACCAAGGCAUUGAAAGAGAUGCGAUCAAAAGAUAAGGCGACACUAUACAUGUUGUUUCGAGCGGUUGAUGAGUCGAGCUUUGAGAAGAUUGUUAAUGCAACUACAUCAAAAGAAGCGUGGGACAUCUUAAAAAAGGUGUUCAAAGGAGCCGACCGAGUCAAGCAAGUGCGUCUACAAACUCUUCGUGGUGAGUUAAAGAGCAUGAAGAUGAUGGAUUCAUAAAGUGUAUCUGACUACAUCACGCGAAUACAGACUGUGGUGAAUCAACUCAACCGAAAUGGUGAAACGUUGACCGAUGCAUGAGUUGUGGAGAAGAUUUUGAGAACAUUAACCGACAAUUUUGAGAGCAUUGUGUGUGCGAUAGAAGAGUCAAAGGACCUAACGACGCUCACAGUCGACGAGUUCGUUGGUUUUCUCGAGGCACACGAGCAACGAAAGAAGAAGAAGAAGGAGGAAAGACUCGAGCAAGUACUUCGAACCAAGGCGUCGAUAAAAAACGAAAACGUACUCUAUCAUCAAAAUUCUCGAAGUAGAGGACAUGAUGGAGAUCAGGGCCAAGGACAAAUAGAAGCCAAUCAACAAGGACAAGAAGAGGAAGAGGAUCAAGAGGUAGAUGCGCAAGACGUUAUUCAUCCUCCUCAAAGGCUUACAAGAAGCAUGUUCAAGGCCUUAGGAAAUAAUGGACAAUUAUUUUCUUUAUUUGUGAUAUCUUUGGUAGAUGGUGCUUAAGAGGGAAACAUAAGAAACCUCUUUUGUAAAAGCAUCCUUAUUUGUAGUUUAGAAAUAUUAGAAGCUUAGGGGGGUGUGAACUUAGUAAGGGAUGCUAGGGGGAGUGUAGAUAUGAGUUAGGAGGUGCCAAACUAGGAAGGAAAGUCACACUUCCUUCAUGCACUAGUUGGCGCCGAAGUUACAUGUCAUUUAGGGGCACAUUUGCAUUUGAUUAGCUUUGCAUUUCAGCACCUUAUAGGCUAUAAAUAAAGGUGCUUAGCUUGUACAAAUCAGAUUUGGAAUUUGAAGUAAGAAAACUCUACUCAAUUUGAGAGAGAAAUUGGAAGAGCUUUGGUGCCUUCAUCAAGUCUUAUCUUGGGUGUCAAUGGUGAACCUCAAGUGGCGGCAACACACUAAUCUUGGAGUAUCCACACUCUAAGUGGCGUGAUCACUCACCUAUUCUUCCAUCUCCAUAAGUUUUCUAUUCUCAUUCUUUGUUUCUUCUUCAUGUUCAUGUUCUAGCUUACUUGUUCUUCAAUUCUGUUCGGUGCCUUUGCUGUAUUUUCAAUUCUGUUUGGUAUUUUCCUUUCAUUGGCUGAAUUCAAUUGUUGUUUCUUCAAUUCUUGUGGUUGUGAUUCAAUUUGACAAUACAUGGACUUCCAUGUGAGCUUUGGUUCGGUGCAAAGUCUUGGUGAGUUUUGAAGUAUAACUUGAUGCAAUUCUAACUAAAGUGCCAAUUCAUGACCAACUCAAGUUGUUCCUAAGAAUGUCAAAGAAUCAUGUAUUCUUGCUAUUGCAUUCACAUCAGGACAUGUUUGGAAAUUGUGGAAACGGUCAAGGUGGUAAAGGCAGUAGUCAUGAAGGGUACUAUAAGGAGAAGGAACAGUAGAGCCAACCAAAUUGGCGUUGAAGAGGACGUGGUCGAGGAAGAGGCAGACGAUCAAAUUACUCCAACAUCGAGUGCUACAAAUGUCACAAAUAGGGUCACUAUGUGAAGGAUUGCAACUCCGACAAAUGUUAUAAUUGUGAUAAAGUGGGGCAUUUUGCUAUAUAAAGAUAGAAGAGGCCACCAACCUAGCCUUGGAAGAUGAAACGAAUGAAGGUGUUCUCUUGAUGGCUCAAGAUGAAGUCAACAUUAAUAGUGACACUCUGUGGCACCUCGACUCGGGAGCAAGCAACCAUAUGUGCGCUCAUAAUUACCUAUUCAAAGAGAUGCAAAAGAUUGAAGAUGGUCAUGUGUCAUUUGGAGAUGCAUCAAAUGUGGAGGUCAAAGGCUGAGGUACGGUUCGGUACUUACAAAAAGAUGGCUAAUUGGGUCACUCCAAGAUGUUUAUUACGUACCAGACCUCAUGACCAACAUUUUGAGUAUAGGGCAACUCACGAAGAAAGGUUACUCAAUAUUUUUAAAAGAUCGGCUACUACACUUGAAGAACAAGCAAGGGCGUUUGGUUGCGAUAAUCGAGACGAUAAGAAAUCAUAUGUACAAGUUAAAUUUAAGAAGCAUACUAGAAAAAUGUUUGGAAGUCAACAUUGAAGAUAAGGCAUCGUUAUGGCAUCUUCAUCAUUGGUCACCUACAUCAUUGUGGUUUAAAAGAGUUAGCGAAGAAGAAUAUGGUGCACAGGCUACCCAACAUGGACUACGAGGGAAAAUUUUGUGAAGAAUGUGUGCUCAGCAAGCAUGUGAGAACCUCGUUUCCAAAGAAGGCUCAAUAUUCGGCUAAGAAACCUCUCAAAUUGAUUCAUAUCGACAUAUGUGGACCAAUUACUCCAAAAUCCUUUAGCGGUAAAAGGUAUUUCAUUACUUUUAUCGAUGAUUUCUCACAAAAAGCUUGGGUUUAUUUUCUAAAGGAAAAAUCCGAGGCAUUCGAGGUGUUAAAAAAGUUCAAGGUGAUGGUGGAAAAGACAACUGAUAGACAAAUCAAAGUUGUACGAUUCGAUAGAGGUGGCGAGUAUGCUUCGACGACUUUCAUGAAGUAUUGCAAGGAGCAAGGCAUAAGGCGAUUUCUAACUGCACCGUACACUCCUCAACAAAAUGGUGUGGCCAAGAGGAAGAACCAGACCAUUCUCUACAUGGUUCGAUCAAUGCUUAAGAGAAAAAGAUGCCAAAGGAAUUGUGGGCGGUAGUUGUGCAAUUCGCCAUCUAUGUGCAAAACCAAUGUCCACAUGUGAAGUUAGAUGAUCAAACACCACAAGAGGCUUGGAGCGGACAAAAGCCAACAAUUUCUCAUCUCAAAGUGUUUAGUAGUGUGGCUUAUGCACAUAUACCAGACCGACGAAGAACAAAGCUUGAAGACAAAAGGAAAAGGUAUAUUUUUAUUGGGUAUGAUGAGAAGACAAAAGGAUACAAGCUCUUUGAUCCGAUAAGCAAAAAGGUGAUGGUGAGUCGUGAUAUGGGAAUAAAUGAAGCAAGCGAGUGGGAUUGGAACAAUUAUUAAGAGGUUAUGAUUGAGGUUGGAGAAUCAUUAGUCGUUGCACCGACAAGUAUAAAUUCCAAAACUACUGAUGAUGAAAACGAACCACGACAACCUAAAAUGCGAAGUUUUGCAAAAUUUGUAUGAUUCGACUAAUGAGGUACAUCUUGUAUGUCUUUUGGCAGUUGCAGAAAAUAUCAGCUUUGAAGAGGCGGUGCUAGACAAGAAGUGGCAAACUGCCAUGGAUGAGGAGAUUAAAGCGAUUGACCACAACAACAUAUGGGAGUUAACAUAAUUGCUAGAGGGAAGUAAGCCCAUUGGUGUGAAGUGGGUAUUCAAGAAAAAGAUGAAUGCUCAAGGCGAGAUAGAGAGGAACAAGGCACGACUCGUUGUGAAGGGAUACAAACAAAAGGAGGGAAUUGACUACGAUGAGGUGUUUGCUCUGUUAUAAGAAUGGAGAUGAUUCGGUUGCUUAUUUCCCAAGCGACUCAAUUUAAAUGGCUGAUAUUUAAAAUGGACGUCAAGUCGGCAUUCUUGAAUGGUGUGCUUGAAGAAGAAGUCUACAUCGGACAACCACUUGGGUACAUGAAAAUCGGAGAAGAGAAGAACGCACUUUACAGGUUGAAACAAGCACCGCGGGCAUGGAAUACUCGUAUCGAUACAUACUUCAAGGAGAACGAGUUCAAGCAAUGUUCUUACGAGCAGGCUCUUUACGCAAAGAACCGUGGAGGUAACAUGAUAUUUGUUGCUCUUUAUGUUGAUGAUCUCAUUUUUAUGGGUAACAAUAAUGAGAUGAUAGAAGAGUUUAAAGGCAGAAUGUGACAAAAUUUGACAUGACAAAUUUGGAAUUGAUGAAGUUUUUCCUUGGUUUGGAGGUUAGACAAAAAGAAACGAGUAUUUUUGUAUCAAAAAAGAUUUUGAAGAAGUACAAGAUGGCAAAUUGCAACCCAAUCUCAAUACCAAUGGAACCAGGUUCAAAACUCUCAAAGUUCGAUGGAGGAGAACGUGUCGAUGCAAGUAUAUACCGGAGUUUGGUAGGAACCCUUCAUUAUCUCACAUGCACGAGGUCAUAUCUUUCAUUAAGUGUCAACAUCAUAAGCCGAUUCAUGGAGGAACCGAUUCUCUCACAUUGGAAGGCGUUGAAGCGAGUCCUACGUUACAUCCAAGGUACUGUAUCACUCGAAUUGUUCUACUCGAAAGCAGAAGAUUACAAGUUGGUGGGUUAGUCUAACAGCGAUUGGUGUGGAGACAUAGAUGAUCAGAAAGUACAUCGGGAUAUGUAUUCUUUAUAGGCAACACAAUAUUUUCUUGGCUUUCAAAGAAGCAAUCGAUCGUGACGCUAUCGACGAGUGAAGCUGANNNNNNNNNNNNNNNNNNNNNNNNNNNNNNNNNNNNNNNNNNNNNNNNNNNNNNNNNNNNNNNNNNNNNNNNNNNNNNNNNNNNNNNNNNNNNNNNNNNNCAUCUUGGUGUGUACAUCAUGCGAUAUGGCUUACAAACUUGUUAAGCAAGAUGGAGCUAAAACAACCAACUGCAACCGUGAUUCAAGUUGACAACAAAUCAGCAAUUGAGUUGGCAAAGAACCCAAUGAAAGAAGCAAACACAUUAACGUUCAUUUUCACUUUAUCCGUGAUCAUGUGAAGAAAGAAUGUGUGGAAUUGGUGCAUGUGGCAAGUCAGGAUCAAGUUGCGGAUAUCUUCCCAAAAACGCUACCGAAAAUACUUUUUGACAAAUAAAAGAAUAGGAUUGACAUGAUGGAUGGUAGAAACAUUUAAGUUAAUUAGAAGUUACUAGAAAAUAGUAGAAUGAGAGUUUGGAUACAUGAAAGGUCAAAAGUUGUGAGUGGGAUUUUAAUUAUGUUGUUAGUGGGGUUUUAAGGAUACAAUGAAGUUUUUUCUAGUAGAACUUCCUAAAGCCUAUAAAUAGGAUGCUCUCUCAGUUGUAAUAUGCACUACAAAAAGAAAUACAAUAGAGAGAAAUACAAGAAGAAGAGUGUUUCUUUAGAGAAAAUCCAAGUGUGAGUGGUUGUCUGUUUUUCAUGUACAAGUGUUUAGUCUUUAUUUUAUUUUUUUUUGGUUCCUCUCUUUGUACAUUGGUUUUUUUUUUGUUUUAAAUUCUCUCUUUAGCUAGACCAAUGAGUGUACUGUUUGUAUAUAUUUAGAGCCUAUGCAUUGAAUUCAGUAAAACCCUAAAAGAAAUAUUCAUUCUCAUAUCAUUUGCCUUCCUUUCUCUCUUUUGUGUUAAGCAUUAAACCAAAAGUCGUCACCAAUUUUGUUUUCAAAUUUGAAUGGUCAAUAAUUAUAACCUUUAAUUCAAGUUUUAAAUGUCAGUUAUAGUAUGAUUUUGAAUGUAAUUUAUAAUAUAGGAUUUUUCAUAAAAGAUGAGAGUAUGGAUUAUCACUAUUGUAGCUUGGUGUUGUCAGUAAGGAUAUCUAUGAUUUCCUCCUGUUCCAUGUUAAGGUCAAUUAAAUAUUCAGAUUCUAGAUGUCUAACCAUUGUAUAAUAUCUUUAAGAGAGUUUUCGUGAUAACAAACACUUGCACAAGUCAAAGACUUGGUACUGCUUUACGUUAAAGAGAUCGUAAGAGAUCAGAGGGGGAGCCCUGUUGACAAUAUACUAUUCUCUGAACAACGUUGAGAACGGGUCGAAUGAAGUAAUGUGUUCGUCGGGGAGACUGACAAACACAUAAAUAGCUUACAGUACACGGCAUCAGAACCUCCUGAAAGCAUCAUCUGGGUAUAGAACGCCGUGAUAUGCGCUUCAGGGUCCUCUACUCCUGUGAAGGUGACCUUCGGGCCCAAGGACGUGGCUAGUAUCAUGGUGUCCAUGAUCACCUGAGAGAACGACAUGGGGGCAGCCUUAACUGGCAGCGGCGGGGCUCGCUUAUCCACAAUACGUUCUCCUACGUUCUACAAAUUCCUACGCAGCUCCUCAUUGGUUAUGCGCAGCUCUUCAUUGUUUGCUUGCGAUCUGGCCAGAUCAACCUGGAAAUGAUCCUGGUCGACUCUGGACGUUGCUACUGCCUCUUGAAGGGCGCAUAUGGUCUCCAUGAGCUGCUGCAUGGAGACGUUGUCCCCUCCUGAGGGCGCAGCAGAUCCUUGUCUCGUGCUCUUCAUGUUGCUGGUGGCUUUCAGCACGAUUGCGGAUGGGACCUAGUUUUAUCGAGCCCCACAAUGGGCACCAAAUGUUCUCGCCGGUUGACCUAAUAUCCGGUUGACACUACAAAAAAACGUGUAUAUUGCGGCGGUUAUUUUCGCAAAAACUGGCGUUUUUAACCGCCGCAUUAUACGUCUGUGGCGGUACCGCGUACUGCCAGAAUUCUUGCCGCCACAAAGUUUAAUGUGGCGGUCAAUUGAGAACCGUUGUAGCAGACGCCAUAUUACGCAUUGUAUAAAGCGGCGAUUUUAAGGGUGUAAUUGGCGUCAGUUAUAAAUAUCGUAAUUUUAAAGCUGGGUAAACCAAUUCUAAUGUAAAUAGUGGCAGUUUUAACCGCCACUUAAUACAGUAUAGUAUGACAUUUAUAAUACACUUUAUAACUGUCAUAAUUCGAAUAUUAAAUAUUUAAUUUUAUUUUUAAUAUUUAUAAUAAUUUAUUUAAUUUUAUUUUAUAAUUUGAUUUCAUAAUAUUAUUUAAUUUCGUAUUAUAAUUAAACUUUAAUUUUAUUUUUAAAAUUUAUAAUAAUUUAUUUAAUUCUAUUUUAUAAUUUGAUUUUAUAAUAUUAAUUAAUUUGAUAUUAUGUUUCAUAAUAUAAUUAAAAUUGAUAAAUAUAAUAAUCAAAAGAUGAGUUCAUUCAUUCAUUGAAAGAACAAAGUUCAUAAUGUCAAAUUAAUACAAACAACAAGUAAAUUAAAUUGUCAAAAUAUAAAUUGUUUCACUUUCUAAACAUAUUACAAGUAAAUUCUCAAUACUAAUUUGUCUUACUCCUUCCACUCGAUCUUAUAUUCUGGUUUGGUGAUGGAGCACCACUAGCAACAUCCGGUGCCUGAAAUAAGUUAAAAUAUGUUUAAAGUUAAUUGACAAUUUUUAAAAAAUAAAUGAAAACAAUAUUAUAAUAAAAUUUUAAGUAUAGUAAUUUAUAGAAGCACAUUAUACAAGCAAUCUGUAAUCUUCAUCAUAGGAUCCCACCUUGUCUCUAUUGUUAUCACCAAACCUGUCACCAUCUCUAGAUCCAAAGCCUCCAUACUUACCACUGCUCUGAAACUCCAAUGUACCUACAUUGAGCACCCAAAAGAAAAAUAAGAAAAUUAUUUUAUGACUACACAUUCUAUUGUAGUAGUUUGUUGACCUGAUAAUUCUAGGAUGAAAAUAUUGACAAAUUUGACCUACUUGUCACGAUUUGUAGCAACUUUAUUUUUGACAUCAUGUAUCUUAUAUUAUACCUAUCAUUCAAAAGGGACACAAUGUUUUCAUCCUUUUUCCUUGCAUUGAGUCCUACGUCCUUCCCACUUGGCUCAACAUAUUCAAAACUAGAAAGUGCCUUAACCAAUCCAAAGUAAAUUAAGAUAACAUCAGAAAAUACUCUUUUAUUUUACUGGUCAACAGAGUUGUUAAUUGCAAGCAUGAAAUUAGCUAAAUACAAGAGAAUUUCCCUUACUGGAAAAUGAAAAGUAUGUUCUAUAAUGUCGUCAACUGCACGUUCACAUCCAUGUGCUACCAAAUACUCGAUAAUCGCUAACGCCUGAAUUAACAUAAUUCAAGUUAUUGAAAGAAAAGCAAAUUGUAUGUAUCAACACAAAAAAUACCUCCAAAAAGCCUUUUCUUUGUAUCUUAAAAUCUUAGGAAAUGACAUGAUUAUUUGGAAGGCAUUACCUUGUAUACAUAUCUCCAAUCUUUUCCAGUUUCGCCCAGUCUUGUCCAAAGGACAUUCAUGGCCAUUUGACAUUCAGUAGCAGUAUAGAAGAGAAGCAAUAAUUUAGUAGAACAAGUAUCAGAAAUUUUCUCAAAAUACAAAAACAAAAAAACAAACAAUAAAAGUAAUAUAACCGGAAAAAAAGAUAGAUAGAUAGUUGUUUACAAUUUUUUGGUAGCCGGGGAAAUCUCUGCCAGUGCAGUACCAUGACGACCCCAAGGUUCAUUAUCAGUUGCAUCGAGCACCUAAUUUGUGAAAAAUGGUAAAACAGUCAAUAAAAUAAUACAGUGGCCAAUACUAGUAUUAUUGGUAUCAAGUAAUACUUUAUAGUUUGUAAAUAUAUAAAAUCUGGCAGUCCAACACAAUGGCAUCAACAAAUUAUUCAAAAAUUACUUGAUAAUAGGUAGAGAACAUUUUCUCUUUUCAAUCCAUCCUUAAAACACAAAUUGAUGAUUUUAGAAUUGUUCUGCACCCUAAAUCUCCUUAAGUUUCUUCUCAUAAAACAUUUGUAUCACAUCAAAAUUUAAUGUUAACACUUUCCAUGAUUCCUGAAAGGGGAAAUAGUUAAUGCAUGAAUGUAUAAAUCUCCGUGUACUAGUAAGAAAUGAUCUAUCUAACUCUUCUCUACAAACCUUGAAAGAGAACAAACUAGUGUUCAACAUCAAUAUAUGUUUCCUACAAAUUAUAUCUACCACAUAAUAAGUUGAAUAAACAAGUUUUAAACUAGUAGAAUUUUUUCGAACUGAUUGAAAAGUAUUUGGUGAAAGUGUCUAUUUGUCAAAACUUUCUAAUCAAUUUCUCUUCCCAUAUUGGUGAUAAAAAAAUCUCUUCCCAUAACACGUUUUAAUUUAAAAUUUAUUAACGAGAUGAAUUUAAAAAUACUCAUACCAAUAAUAUUCAAUGAAUUAAAAUUAAUUUUCACAAAUCUUAAAACAAAAUACCCAUGAAACAAGAAGAACCCUCUCUGUGUAACCCCCAAAAUUUGACAAAGGUUUAAAAAGUACCCAAUAAACCUUAUGAUAUAAUCGUAAAUCUAGUUAUGCACUACAAAUCACUAUUUAUAAACUGACAAAUGGACCUAACAUGAAAUUCUAAAAGCUAACAUAACUUUUGCAUCCAAAUUGAAUAAUCUCCCCUAAGUGUCACCUAAUAGUUCUGCAAAUAGUCAAAGCUCAAAGGCUGUUGGUUUUUUAAAUGGCCACCAUCCAACUGGCGUUCUUAUCCUUACAGGGUGGGAUACAACACAACCAAUUCCUAACAAGCCGGUCUUUUCUUGACUCCCAAAAUUUAAUAAAAAAACAUUAAUUUAAAGUAUAUUUCUUUGAAUUGUCUUAUUUGCAAUUUCAAUUUUUCAUCAAUGGAGAAUCAAUUUUAGAAACCCCACGAGCUCAUUCAACUCCCAAUAUGAUCCAAGUGGUUUCCAAUGGACCCCUUCUACAGUACUUGAUAAUAUUACUCGUCACCCCUAUUUUUUUUCAUCCAGCUUAGCUAUUAUAGUUUUAAACCCACUGCGUCUUUGAAGAAAACACCAAUGUACUUAACUACACACAGCUAUGUAAGCACUUUUGUUACUCUAAUAAUAUUAAUUAACUAUCUUGUCACAUAUAUUAAUUAUAAUCUCCAGCAAAAAAACCCAACAUUAUUAAAAAUGAUGCCUAUAGAGAAUAUAACCCAAUAACACCCGUCACUCAGUUGAAUCCAAUAAUAUCUUAUAAAACGGUUUUUCAAAACUUAUAAAACAUGUGCUAAUAUCUUAAUAAUAUCGUUACGAAUAGCUACAAUAGAAACAACAUUCAACAUCGAUGCACAAAACUUGACAGUGAAAUCGUAGAGCAUAACAUUCAACAUCCACAAAAAAGAAAAAGAAAAAUAAAUUGAUAGACAAAUUGUGUACCUGCAGCAUUCAACAUCCACAAAAAAAGAAAAAGAAAAAUAAAUUGAUAGACAAAUCGUGUACCUGCAGCUAGCGAAAUUGUAGAGUUUUCCGGUGUUGGAGAAAAUCAUAACUCCGACUUCAGCAUCGCACAAGAUCGCAAGUUGUUUCGCCUUCUUCAGCAAACCAUUCCUUCGCUUCGAGAAGGUGACUUCCUGUCCCCAUACCAAACCCUAACAAUCAGAUUCUUCCGAUUCAGAAAAGCACUCGCUGUAAAACAGAUCCACACACAAAACUUCAAUUAGAUGAAGAAGAAAAAAAAAUAAAAAGCGAAAAUCAAAACAACGCGGUUGCGAAAGAGAAAAUAGAAGACGGUUGGAUCCACAUGUUGUGGUGACGAAGGAAGACCAAUUUAGUAACUAACUAAUUAAUAAGUUAAACAAAGAAUUUUGGGAAUAGGUUUUUAAAGGAUUUUCAAAAAUUUGGGAGAAUCAGGGGAAUGUAGGAAGCGAACGAGUAACUUGCAGAGAUGAUGGAGAGUGGAGAGUGAAAAAAGAGCGAGAAAACGGGAUUGUUUCAAAAAACUCUACCUCAAACGGAGCCGAUGGUGGAUUUGGUAGAGAGAAAAUGGUGAGUGGCGGAGAGAAGAGCGAGAAGAUGGUGGAUGUGGCAGAGAGAAGAACAACAGAGAGAAGACGUGAGUGAGUGAAGUAGGUGAGGGUUUCACAAUGAGGUGCGCUAGUGAGUGAAGCGGGUGAGGGUUUCGCAAGGAGGGUUUUCACGAAGGCUUAACGUGAGGAGUUUUCGACCAGGAUUUCAUUAGGGUUCGACGCAGAGAGAAAGGAGGAGAGAGGGAAAAGUCACAAAUGAGGUUUUCAAAAACAACAUUAGGGUUCCUGAAUAGUGAAACUAAAUUUUAAAAAAAAUAAUUGGAAAUAAUAAGGCGGAUAAUUGUGGCGGUUCAAACUGACAUAUUCUGAAGGAUAAUUAUGACAGUUAGUUAAAUGUCAUAUUAUACGGAAAUUUGUGACAGUUAUUAAUAACCGCCAUAUUAAAACUGCCACUUUAUACAUAAUUUUUUGUAGUGUGACUCGAACGACAGUCUCCGCUUGAGAAUCGAACCUUCUUAGGUUUAAGGACGUUUUCCUGCAAAGACAAAAGGGCGCCCUAGCGGCCGUUAAAAGGGCGCCCUAGCGACCGUUUGCACUCCGACACUAAUGUGUAUAAGCAGUUUCAAUCUUAGAAACGGCGUACCUUGCUAGGGUUCUUACCACCCUAUUUAUAGGUUGUAUCUAGGGUUACUUCUACUACGCUCCCACAUCUCUUAAUGGGCUUAGGGUUCCUGGGAGAAUGUCCUUGCGCCGCUAUCACACAAUCUUAGCGUAAUCUGGCGCAUAGGACUUCCCUUUCCUGGAUUGCAAAGACUUAACAGCGUAGCCGCCAAGUACCUAUUCACGUACCAGCGCUUGCGGCAUCAUCUGUUAUGCGGGUCACGUGUCAUGCAUGCAGUCUUUCCCUAGAAACCCUAACCCUAACAGGCCUUAGCAAAUGUAACAUACACACCCCUUGCAUGAUUCUCUCGUGACUUAGGUUUCUUUUGGUAUCGGGAGGUUUCUUUUGGUAUCGGGAUGUUAACCCAUGUUAACUCAUGCAAUAUGUGGGACCCAGCUUACGUAUGUCCGAUGUCUUUCUCUCAGACGGAUGACUAAUGUUUGGCCUGUACAAAAAUACAUAACUGGUUGAAGUAACUACAUUUGAAAUAAGAGAUCCGUGUAGUUGUGUGGUUUCAUUAGGAAAAAUGAAGAAUGAACGGCCAUUGGAGAAUGUAUUUUCUAAAUUUCUUAUGACCAAUUAUUUCAAGUUGUUAUACUAAUGCUUGCAGUUUCGUUUCGGUAGACUAUACGUAUAUUGCAGUAUUAAAUUUUUAUUAAGGAACAAAUGUAACAAAAAAUACAUAACUGGUUGAAGUCAGUACUUUUGAAUAAGAGAUCCGUGUAUAGUUGUGUGGCUUAAUUAGGAAAAACAGAAGAAAGAACGGCCAUUGGAGAAUGUAUAGUUAGAAACAGUAUAAUUUAGAUCAAUAUCUAUGAAAUAAUAGCUGCACCGAAUUUCCUGAUAUAUAUCAACUAAACUUGAUUGAUAUUAAUAAAGAAUGUUUUGUAAAAACUUUCUCUUCAUUGUAACAUCAUUUUACUUUCAAAUUACAAACUAAAAUAGAAAAAAUUUAAAAUGGAAGUUCCUUCUGUACAAAGUUGCCUCAGUUAAUCUAUGAUCUAGCUCAGUCUCCCUAAGGUCCAGCCUGCUAGAGUGAUUUACAAACUUGUCUCAUCUAACAUUAUCUUCUAUUUGCUUCCUCUAAGAUUAUCUAUCUCAGGUUCUCCAUGAAAAUGCUUUACAACUGAUUGAAGUGAGAGAUGAUAUUUAGGAACUCAUCCUCCUGGCAUGGAAUUGUGAGAGCACCCUUUGGAUGAUCAUAUCCAAAUUCUUCUUCUGCUUUACUAAGCAAUUCUUGAAAUGAAGGCUGGUUCAAGUAUGAUACUGGAAUCACACACCGCCUCAUUUCAUCUCCAACAUAAACUGCAAUAUAGCCCUUUGGUACUUCACCCCCCUUGGAGGCCACUUGGAUUGUAGAAACUGAUGCUCGUCUAAGAAUACCUUUUAUGCGGAAACCCAUUGUUUUAUCUUUCUUCACUCCACAAAGAAUAUAUUGAUGUUAGAGGAUUUGUGUAUGAAAGAAAUUUUUAACUUGUAUUACUUGAGGAAUGCAAUCAGUUGUGGUGCUUGAAACCCAAACAAGUACUGCAUAUAUAGUUUCCAAAUGCCCUCUGCUAACUCAUACACCUCAAUUAUUGAUCUUUUGAUUGUCUACAAUGGAUUCAACCAAGAGACAAGAUCACAAGGUGUUGUCUUAGAUAUCUCCUUCAAGGACUUGGCAAUUCAAUGGGACUACUUACCCCGCCUUUUUAGAUUCUAGCCAACAGAUUUACCCCCUUCAAAUUAAAAUUGAAAGCAAUGCUUAUUCAUGAGUUAUGAUUCUACAGCUAUUUCAAUGAUCGACAUGCUUUAGACAUCUCACAUGCAUCGCCAUGUGUACACUAAAUUGAAUUGGAGGUUAGAAGAGAAGCAAUAUUGAACGCAUCUUCACGGUGCCCUAUGAACCACACUCUUUCUGUGUCUGGCAAAUUUGAGAACAACCAUUUCAACUUCCAUAAAUGAAAUUCCUCUCGCCAAAUAAUUGUCAAUAUCAUGGCGCAUUAGAUUUUUUUUUUCACACAUAUACUUCUAAGAGUCCUAUGGACAUUACCACAUGCCCUUGUCUAGCAGUUGGCCCAUGACUAUUAUCUCAUAAUCUUUCACCAAUAAUUCAAGUACCCUUCUUACAUAAGCUUUAUCUAUAUAUAUAUUCACCGUUGCAAGCAUUUUAGAACCAACACAAAUCAUUCACAUCCUGAAGUAACAAAAUUCAUAAGCCUCAACUCUCAAGCUCUAUUCGUACCAUUUUGUUAUCAAGUCUGAGCAAAUAUACAACACAAGAAUGGGCUUUCGUUUACCUAGUAUCAGAAGGACAUCAUUCGCAGCAAACCAAACAUCUUCUAAGAGUAUGGAGGUGCCAAAGGGUUAUCUUGCAGUGUACGUUGGAGAGAAAAUGAAGCGAUUUGUGAUCCCCAUAUCAUACUUGAUCCAACCUUCAUUCCAGGACAUGUUGAGUGAAGUAGAGGAAGAGUUUGGAUAUGAUCAUCCCAUGGGUGGUCUUACGAUUCCUUGCAGUGAAGAUGUCUUCCAAAGCACAACUUCACACUUGAAUAGACAUUAAGUCUGGUAAUAUAGAAGUCUGACACAGAAUUGAAGAGCCAUUUUGUUAUAGGCAUCUUCUCAAUUUGUAAAUAUAACUCCUUUUUGAGUAUAGGAAAAAUGCGAUCAUAGUA
This 21675-nucleotide long non-coding RNA is filed under the name Phaseolus vulgaris (common bean). RNAcentral describes it as "long non-coding RNA (PVUL_LNC002524)". Lineage: Eukaryota; Viridiplantae; Streptophyta; Magnoliopsida; Fabales; Fabaceae. The record is from RNAcentral.